AUAUUUGAGUUAGCUCAUCACUAUUCAACCUUCUAGUCUGCUCUGGCCUUUAGCCCAACUUGUACUUGCAAAAAUUUCUGGCCUUCCCCUAUUUCACUCUAAAGCAGCAAGCUUUCUCCCCUCUCAAGUCUCAAAUAAAAACCAGCAAUCUUCUUGACGAAGAGGGGAAAAAAAAAAAAACAAAUGAGCCUGAGAAAUCUAAAUGAGUGGACCGUUAUUGCUAAAGAAGCGUUCAACGGAUCCUUCUUAGUAGCCAAAGCUCUUUGCUUUCUCCAUGUCACCAAAACCUAUGUCUUCACUGUUGCUUCGCUCUAUGGACCAAGUAUGCUCCCUACCUUUAACAUUAGUGGUGAUUUGGCAUUGGCUGAGAAGAUUUCACACAAGCUUGGCAAAGUGGGUGCUGGAGAUAUUGUUCUUGUUACAUCACCCGUGGAGCCAAGAAAAAUUGUGACUAAAAGAGUUAUAGGUGUUGAGGGUGAUUCUGUUACUUAUGUUGUUGAUCCCCAAAACAGUGAUAGAACUGAGACUAUUGUGGUUCCUAAGGGCCAUAUUUGGGUAGAGGGAGAUAACAUAUAUAAAAGCAAGGAUUCAAGAAACUUCGGGGCAGUUUCUUAUGGCCUUCUUCAAGGGAAAAUAUUUUGGAAGGCUGGUUAACUAGACCUGGCAGGUGUAGGAAAAAUUCUAUCAAGUAAUAUGAACCAAUAUUAUUGUAAAGAAUGUUGGUAGUAAACCAAAAAUAUGUCUUACCAAUCCACAUGGAAGAGUGAUGGGGAAUAAGGGAGGCCAUCUAAGACGAGGCAGCAUCUACUUGGGAUUGACAUGGCAGCCCAAGCAGUAGAUAUGGCCACCCAAAGAUUUCGGACCACUUGGGAACAAAGAGCAAAACAGCUGAAUGAAUGUUGUUAGGUACGUGUUCUUAGACAGCAUAGUCCUUGCUCUGGAUGAUCACCUUGCCUAAAGUUACAUUAUAUUACCUUAGUGAUGACUUGCAAGUAUCUAGCAUAGUUAUAAAACCCAACCCGGUAGUUGACCCGGUAAAAUGACCAAGUCACGGGUUUUGUGGGUCAGCCCGGAUUUAAGGAUAACAGUUCUAGUUUCUCGGUCCAAAAUUCCAAAACAUCAACAUUUAAUCUGUUGACUUGGAAUUUAAAAUUCUUACACCUUUUUUUUA
Populus nigra (black poplar) is the source of this 1171-nucleotide RNA transcript. It is a transcript of the gene named mitochondrial ATP-independent inner membrane protease subunit 1a-like, with no coding region annotated. Lineage: Eukaryota; Viridiplantae; Streptophyta; Magnoliopsida; Malpighiales; Salicaceae. The transcript has 5 exons. The record is from RefSeq and is a predicted model, not a curated record.